This 25-nucleotide non-coding RNA is filed under the name Drosophila melanogaster (fruit fly). Lineage: Eukaryota; Metazoa; Arthropoda; Insecta; Diptera; Drosophilidae. RNAcentral also lists the same sequence under 1 other name. The record is from RNAcentral.
GGCGGGCAUGCCUGUCCGAGCGUCA